RNAcentral lists this ribosomal RNA (775 nucleotides) under uncultured Neocallimastigales. RNAcentral describes it as "partial large subunit ribosomal RNA". It matches the Rfam family "Eukaryotic large subunit ribosomal RNA", at positions 24 to 643 of the family's 3401-position model. The record is from RNAcentral. Lineage: Eukaryota; Fungi; Neocallimastigomycota; Neocallimastigomycetes; Neocallimastigales.
UAUGUGAUCGUCUCUCGCAUAUCAAUAAGCGGAGGAAAAGAAACUAACAAGGAUUCCCCUAGUAACGGCGAGUGAAGCGGGAAGAGCUCAAAUUUGAAAUCUUAAAGGGUUUCCCUUUACGAAUUGUAGUUUAAAGAAGUGUUUUCUGUUGAGGUUUUGGUAAAAGUUCUUUGGAAUAGGACAUCAUAGAGGGUGAGAAUCCCGUAUUUGACCUUUACUUUCAACUUUGUGAUACACUUUCAAAGAGUCGGAUUGUUUGGGAAUGCAGUCCAAAAUGGGUGGUAAAUUUCAUCUAAAGCUAAAUAUUGGCGAGAGACCGAUAGCGAACAAGUACCGUGAGGGAAAGAUGAAAAGAACUUUGAAAAGAGAGUUAAACAGUACGUGAAAUUGUCAAAAGGGAAGCGUUUGACACCAGUGUUGUUUUUCUGAAAAUCAAUUAAAGAACUGUUUAUGCUAAGCUGUUUAGACUUUAUCAGCUAAUCUGUUUAGUUUUGAGCUUUUCUUUAAUGCACUUUUCAGUUAACAAGUCAACAUCAAUUUCUUUUGCUGUAAAAAAGCUUGAGGAAGGUGGCUUGAGAUUCGUCUUAAGUGUUUAUAGCCUCUUGCCUAUGCAGUCGGAGAGAUUGAGGUCUGCAGCGUAGAUCCUUCGGGGCUAAAUGCAUUUGUGCUAAGUUAUAACAUUUUAUAGACAACUUGUUGACUAUGAUUUGUCUUGUAGCUUACUCGCUUAUGUUAUUUUACCUACGCUUAGGAUGUUGACACACGCGCGUGCUCG